CUCAUGUAUUGUCUCAAUCUGAUAUCCAUUUUGAAUGAUAUCUCUAAAACUCAACAAGUUCCUUUUAGACUUGGAGGAGAACAUUUUGACUGAUAUCACUAAAACUCAACAAGUUCCUUUAGGCAGAGUUAUAGUUGCUCUUCAGGAGCCUUCAAACAAUUUAAUUCCCAUGGUUUGACAUACAAAAGAAAAUACACGAACAUGAGAAUAAACA
This 214-nucleotide long non-coding RNA is filed under the name Nicotiana benthamiana. RNAcentral describes it as "long non-coding RNA (NBEN_LNC015293)". Lineage: Eukaryota; Viridiplantae; Streptophyta; Magnoliopsida; Solanales; Solanaceae. The record is from RNAcentral.